This 287-nucleotide long non-coding RNA is filed under the name Elaeis guineensis (African oil palm). RNAcentral's name for it is "long non-coding RNA (EGUI_LNC025103)". The record is from RNAcentral. Lineage: Eukaryota; Viridiplantae; Streptophyta; Magnoliopsida; Arecales; Arecaceae.
UCUCCCUCUCUCUCUCUCGCUGAGCUCCUUGUUUUCUUCUCACUGUUGCCUAGUCUCCUCUCUGACUUGACCAUCGGAGGGUCCCCGUCGGAGCCGCCUCCGGUCAAUGCGGACUUUCUUUUGCAGGUGCUCGUUUCCGAUGAUCAGGCGACGAGGAGAUUGGCCGCAACAUAUAUGAAGACAAAUUCUAGCCCAAAUCGGACCAGCGCAUAUCUAAAAUCUAAACUUCCAGACCGGGUUCGCUUAAUAUCCGUCAUGGCAAAGACCGAUUGCAAUUUGAUUCAUAU